RNAcentral lists this ribosomal RNA (468 nucleotides) under uncultured bacterium. RNAcentral describes it as "partial 16S ribosomal RNA". It matches the Rfam family "Bacterial small subunit ribosomal RNA", at positions 28 to 507 of the family's 1533-position model. The record is from RNAcentral.
GACGAACGCUGGCGGCGUGCUUAACACAUGCAAGUCGAACGGCAAGGCCCUGCUUUUGUGGGGUGCUCGAGUGGCGAACGGGUGAGUAACACGUGAGUAACCUGCCCUUGACUUUGGGAUAACUUCAGGAAACUGGGGCUAAUACCGGAUAGGAGCUCCUGCUGCAUGGUGGGGGUUGGAAAGUUUCGGCGGUUGGGGAUGGACUCGCGGCUUAUCAGCUUGUUGGUGGGGUAGUGGCUUACCAAGGCUUUGACGGGUAGCCGGCCUGAGAGGGUGACCGGCCACAUUGGGACUGAGAUACGGCCCAGACUCCUACGGGAGGCAGCAGUGGGGAAUAUUGCACAAUGGGAGGAAGCCUGAUGCAGCAACGCCGCGUGCGGGAUGACGGCCUUCGGGUUGUAAACCGCUUUCGCCUGUGACGAAGCGUGAGUGACGGUAAUGGGUAAAGAAGCACCGGCUAACUACGUG